RNAcentral lists this RNase P RNA (365 nucleotides) under Bacteroidota bacterium. RNAcentral's name for it is "Bacteroidetes bacterium (activated sludge metagenome) RNase P RNA component class A". It matches the Rfam family "Bacterial RNase P class A". Rfam says of the family: Ribonuclease P (RNase P) is a ubiquitous endoribonuclease, found in archaea, bacteria and eukarya as well as chloroplasts and mitochondria. The record is from RNAcentral. Lineage: Bacteria; Pseudomonadati; Bacteroidota.
AAACAGGUUUGUUUCAUCGCUCUUUAUUUUAAGGGAGGAAAGUCCGGGCAACGCAGGGUAAUUUGCCACUUGAAAGGGUGGGUAUAUUUUUAGGAAUAAGAAUAUAACAGAUAGUGUCACAGAAAACCAAGUAGCCUUAGCAUUUCGAUGUUAAGGUCAUAGUGAAAAUGUGAGGUAAGAGCUCACAUGUGUAGUUGGUAACAAUUACAUAGGACAAACCUCUUAUGUUGUAAGGCCAUGUAAACUCUAAUUUUGCGGCGACUCGUUGCAAUAACUUCGGUUAUAUUAGAGAGGGUAGGCUGCAUAGAUAAAUGAUGAAAGUUGCGCAAGCAAUACAGAACCCGGCUUAUAGAACCUGUUUUUAA